RNAcentral lists this ribosomal RNA (253 nucleotides) under uncultured bacterium. RNAcentral describes it as "partial 16S ribosomal RNA". It matches the Rfam family "Bacterial small subunit ribosomal RNA", at positions 524 to 776 of the family's 1533-position model. The record is from RNAcentral.
UACGUAGGGUGCAAGCGUUAAUCGGAAUUACUGGGCGUAAAGCGUGCGCAGGCGGUUUUGUAAGUCUGACGUGAAAUCCCCGGGCUCAACCUGGGAAUUGCGUUGGAGACUGCAAGGCUAGAAUCUGGCAGAGGGGGGUAGAAUUCCACGUGUAGCAGUGAAAUGCGUAGAGAUGUGGAGGAACACCGAUGGCGAAGGCAGCCCCCUGGAUCAAGAUUGACGCUCAUGCACGAAAGCGUGGGGAGCAAACAGG